AAGCCAUGCUCUGCACUUCUUUGCUCUGUUCUACUGAAAUCUACUCUGCCUAAAAGCUCAAAAAUUCGAGCCUAAGUUGUAAGUACUUCAACUCUCUUUUUUCUCUUUUUUCUCUUUUUUUUUUUUAUUUGAGGGGAAAAGUAUUACAACUCUACGAGUAAUAAAAUUCCUCAAAGUAUUUUACUUUAAAAAAAGAAAAAAAAAAAAACUCUACAAGUGACAAAAUAAAAACUUGUUUAAAAAAAAACAACAAAAUAAAAACUUUACAGGUUUAUAUUGCUCGAUUCUUUCUCCCACUUAGAAAUGAUGAACCCUAACAUACCUCCAAUUGAUUAAUCGAAACUCCCAAAUUGAUUGCUCGAAUCUCCCAAAUUGAUUGCUCGAAUCUUUUAUUUCUCGAUUACUCAUUUCUGCUUGAUUCUCUUACGCCUGAAGUGCUUCCAAUUGAUACGAUAGAAUUGCUGGAUACAAUUCUCUCUGCUGCUCAAUUUUUGUUUGAGUAAUCGCCCAAAUCGAAAGUUUCAGGAAUCAAGAUCUAGAUGGACAUUAUGAGAAAGCUAGACAAGCUAAGCAAGGAUAGAACAAAAUAGAAUCAGAAUGAGGGAUUCGGGGGUUACAUUCAUGUUUUAUACACUGAAACAGUCGAUGAAGGGAUCGAAAUAAACAAAAAAAAAAAGUAAGAAGGUGACUAAAGAUACUGACGAGUAUACACCCGAUGAAAAAGGAGAAUUGAACCACUCAUGUGAAGAGGAUUAAAAUCAGAUAAGGAAAAACAGUGUAAACUUGAGGUCUCAUUAAAAAAAGCUGCUACUGUUGUUUUUUGCUAUUGAUUCUGCUACUUUUUGGUGCUACUGCUGUUUUUUUGCUGCUACUGCUCUUUGUUGCUGACUCUUGCUGGUGCUGUUUGCUGCCACUGCUUCCUGCCACUUUUAUUUGCUGCUACAUGAUGUCUGCUAGAAGCUCUGUUGCUGCUGCUGCAAUUAGUCUAGCAUUUGUUUCUUUUAAUUUUUUUUCACUUUUUUUAGAUAGAGAUCGAAGUUAAUUUUCUUUUUGUUUUGAUUAUCAUCUUGUUUG
This is a long non-coding RNA of Chenopodium quinoa (quinoa), 1074 nucleotides long. RefSeq lists it as uncharacterized. The transcript is spliced from 3 exons. The record is from RefSeq and is a predicted model, not a curated record. Lineage: Eukaryota; Viridiplantae; Streptophyta; Magnoliopsida; Caryophyllales; Amaranthaceae.